Molecule: ribosomal RNA, 413 nt
Filed under: uncultured bacterium
Lineage: Bacteria
Description: bacterial SSU rRNA
Rfam family: Bacterial small subunit ribosomal RNA
Source: RNAcentral
GAGGAAUAUUGGGCAAUGCCCGCAAGGGUGACCCAGCAACGCCGCGUGGAGGAUGAAUGUCGUAAGAUUGUAAACUCCUGUUAGAGGGGAAGAAUAGUACCGGUUGGACCGGUAUAUGACUGUACCCUCAGAGAAAGCCCCGGCUAACUACGUGCCAGCAGCCGCGGAAAUACGUAGGGGGCAAGCGUUGUCCGGAUAUACUGGGUGAAAAGGGCGCGAAGGCGGGAUAAAAAGUCAGUGGUGAAAUCCUACAGCUUAACUGUAGAACUGCCUUCGAUACUUUUAUUCUUGAGUUCGGGAGAGCGCGACGGACUUCCAGGUGUAGUGGUGAAAUACGUAGAUAUCUGGAAGCACACCAGUUGCGAAGGCGGUCUCUUGGUCCGACACUGACGCUGAGGCGCGAAAGCGUGGGG